RNAcentral lists this ribosomal RNA (492 nucleotides) under uncultured bacterium. RNAcentral describes it as "partial 16S ribosomal RNA". It matches the Rfam family "Bacterial small subunit ribosomal RNA", at positions 29 to 507 of the family's 1533-position model. The record is from RNAcentral.
AGUGAACGCUGGCGGUAGGCCUAACGCAUGCAAGUCGAACGGCAGCACAGUAAGAGCUUGCUCUUACGGGUGGCGAGUGGCGGACGGGUGAGGAAUACAUCGGAAUCUACUUUUUCGUGGGGGAUAACGUAGGGAAACUUACGCUAAUACCGCAUACGACCUACGGGUGAAAGCAGUGGAUCUUCGGACCUUGCGCGAUUGAAUGAGCCGAUGUCGGAUUAGCUAGUUGGCGGGGUAAAGGCCCACCAAGGCGACGAUCCGUAGCUGGUCUGAGAGGAUGAUCAGCCACACUGGAACUGAGACACGGUCCAGACUCCUACGGGAGGCAGCAGUGGGGAAUAUUGGACAAUGGGCGCAAGCCUGAUCCAGCCAUACCGCGUGGGUGAAGAAGGCCUUCGGGUUGUAAAGCCCUUUUGUUGGGAAAGAAAAGCAGCAGGUUAAUACCCCGCUGUUCUGACGGUACCCAAAGAAUAAGCACCGGCUAACUUCGUG